Molecule: long non-coding RNA, 1994 nt
Filed under: Bemisia tabaci
Lineage: Eukaryota; Metazoa; Arthropoda; Insecta; Hemiptera; Aleyrodidae
Description: lncRNA ENSSSA1UGG007686
Source: RNAcentral
AUGAGUUUACAUAACAAGUGCAUUCUUUUAAUCUUCCUCAUAACAAACUCAGUUCUUCAAACCGUGCAAGCUGGGAAACUGUUUGGAUCAGACAGUGAAUUCAACUUAUCGGAAUAUCGAGAGGAACUUGAAGAAGCUCAUCCCUAUUUCUUCAAUGCUGCGCCUGGUCCACCUCCUUCUGAGGUUCCAUCUCCAGCCGCUGAUGAGACCGAGACCCUGCCCAAUUUUGAUUAUGCAUUUCGGGAAUGCCUCCAGCCGGCAUGCGAUUACUUCGGGAUUUUACACUUGGGAAACAAAAUGAAGAUACCUUUAAAAGAACCCGUCUCCUUUGACGUCGAUACAGGAGAAGUCAAAUGCAAAUUUUCAUCACGAGCCCUUAAAUGCAUAAGGCACCACCGAGCUAACGUGACAUUGUUCAAAAUUCUCUACGAUAAAAAACCCAAUAUGGCGAGGCUUUACUUAAAACGGAAGAAAUUGCCUUUAGAUGGCCCGAUAUUUGACCAAAGCCCCGCGGGAAGUUUCAAAAAAAGUUCCAAACCAGAUGAAAGUUCCACGCAGCGCAGUGAGUCUUCGACAAGUGCCACAAAUCGUUUGCUGAGCAAGUUAUCAAAAUCACCCACGUUCAUACGCGGAACGUGCAGUCAAAUGGUGAGGAGGUUAAAUCAAUCAACGACGUUCAAUUAUCUAACAAGAGGGUUGUCUAAAUCAAGUAUUACUGGUGCAUAUAAUGGCGUGGUGAGGGGCUUAUCCAACGCUGGUGCCGUUACCCAAGUCUCGAACAUUUUGAAAUCUGGUGGAUCGGCGAUAAAGAGAUGGAAACCAAAGGCAGGGACGCUCAAAAAGACCAAUAGCCAGAACGAGACACCCUGAUGUUGAACUGAUCAUAUCGAUGGCCAAAAGGCGGGAAAAAAGAAGAAGAAAAAAAAUCUUACAUAGGCUUCAAUUAGUAUGUAAAGCAGGCCUUCGGGUUAUACUCUGUUAAGUAUAAUUCCUCCUUGUAUUAAUUACAAUAAAUAUAACUUUGUUCAAAAAAAAAGUGCGAAAUCACGUAUCUCCUUUUGUGACGUUGUAGACUUCCUGUUAUGCUUUAAUUUUCUUAAAAACUUCCUUGAAUUUCCGUCUCUGCCAGCAAAAGAUUCUGUAUAAAUGGCGAGGUAAAAUGUUGGCUUCCCAAGUAGCAGAACAAAUUUUUGUUUUUCUAAAAAAAGUAUAAAAAAAAUAUAUCUGUCAUCUAAAUGAUCGAUUUAUAUAAAAAAAACGUGUAACGUUUAUACAAGAAAAAUCAAAGUUCAGACCUGACCGUAAUAUAUGAAAAAUGAUAAAAGCUAGAUAAGGUAAUUUAUUUGUAUACACAAAUUUUUUAUUUUUUUAUAUAACGCAUGCAUACGAAAGUGUUAAAAGUGAACAUUUUUAUGUAACUUUUAUAUAAAAAAUAGGUCAUCAUUUUCGUGUGCUUUUCGCAAAUUAGAAGAAUUUUUAGUACCUAUGUUUGCGAAAAGCUCACGAAAAUUAUGACAAUUUUUUAUAUAAUGGUUACAUAAAAAUGUUCACUUUUAACACUUUUGUAUGCAUGCAUUAUAUAGAAAAAAUUAACUUUCGUACAUAUUAUUUAUCUUUUCCUUCUAUGGUUCUGCUACUAGGGUUGCUUCUCUUCGGAAAAAUAAAGUAGAAGUGGAAAUAUUGAAACAUCACAAUGGCGAUACGUGGUUCCGCACUCCAACUAUAUCGAUUUAUUAAUCUUCCAGCGACGCGGUGUCACUAUUUUACUCCGAUUACUGUGAUCAUGAUAUUCCACGGAGAAGAAAAUGCUCGGCAGAAAAGGAUCCUUUUAAAUCAACGGGAAUCUCGUAAUAAAAGUUCUGAAAUCCUGAUAAUUUCGUUUGAUUUGAUCCCAUUCUGUCUUCAUUGGUCGUCAGAAUUUGUUCUUGUUUUUUCAAUCGAUUCGGCUUCUAUUCCUCUAUUGAAAAUCUAUCAAAACAUCAAUAAUAAAGAAA